AAAUGGAUUACGCUACCUCAUAUGUUGGAGACCUCUCAAGCUGUACAGCUCAAGCGGCAUUUGGCGAACCGGGGCUGAGCAUACAGUUAGGAUUGCUGAGAACAGUGCCUCGAGUUAAAUUAGCUGGCAAGGCUGCGUAAGGACGUCCUGAUGAACCAUCAGAAUAUGCCACACUACUUUGUGCACGUGGCUGUUUUUAAAAACAAAAUAGCAAAGUCUACCUUACGGCAGUCCUGGGACUCAGCAAUACCCCGGUCUCGGACCAGCCCAUGUUCCUGAUGGUUUUGCCUUGCUAUCACAAAAUUCAAGAGCUGGCUGGCAAGACGUCUGGACGGGAGACACAUCGCUGGGAAAACGACGCCGACUGAUUAUUGCCACCAUAAUAACAGGUCCUGCUUGAUGGCUCCACAUGUGCGCCGACCUCGGGGCACCCUUAACAAUGCUUAAUAAAGCAAAUGAGUCCCUCUGCAGCCGACGCCAAAGGUCUCCCCCUCCCGUGGAGAAGCCCAAGAGCUUAAGGAGCACCCCUGAAGCAGCUGCCCCACGCAUCUCCAGUGACUGAAAUAAACAAGCCAGAGCUGAUAGUCCCAGUGGGGGGGUUGACAUUUGGAUGCCGCUCAAAAAUGUGAGUUUGUGACUAGGGCUGGCCUCCAACACCUCGCUCAGAAAAGCACAAGGCACGGGGGGAGGCUGCAGCGCAGCGCUCCCGCCGGCCCCGUCCUCAACCCAACGC
Molecule: long non-coding RNA, 733 nt
Organism: Oxyura jamaicensis (ruddy duck)
Lineage: Eukaryota; Metazoa; Chordata; Aves; Anseriformes; Anatidae
Exons: 5
Source: RefSeq, a predicted model, not a curated record